This 456-nucleotide ribosomal RNA is filed under the name Neosarmatium meinerti. Its description in RNAcentral is "partial 16S ribosomal RNA". The stretch from base 335 to 456 matches the Rfam family "Bacterial large subunit ribosomal RNA", at positions 2473 to 2594 of the family's 2925-position model. Lineage: Eukaryota; Metazoa; Arthropoda; Malacostraca; Decapoda; Sesarmidae. The record is from RNAcentral.
CAAAGGUAGCAUAAUCGUUAGUUUUUUAAUUGGAAUCUUGUAUGAAUGGUUUGACAAAAGAAAAUCUGUCUUUAUAAUUAUUUAUUGAAUUUAACUUUUAAGUGAAAAGGCUUAAAUAAGUUAAAAAGACGAUAAGACCCUAUAAAGCUUAAUAUUAAUUUUUAUUUAAUAAAAUUUUAAAUAAUAUAAAUAUUUAGUAGAAAAUUUUUUAUUUUAUUGGGGCGAUAAUAAUAAAAUGAUUAUUAACUGUUAAUAAAAUUUAAACAAAAAUAAAUGAAUAAAAGUAUAAAUUAAAUGAUCCUUUUUGAAGAUUAGAAGUUUAAGUUACUUUAGGGAUAACAGCGUUAUUUUUUUUGAGAGUUCUUAUCGAGAAAAAAGUUUGCGACCUCGAUGUUGAAUUAAAAUAUCUAUAUAAUUGUAGCAGUUAUAUAAGAAGGUCUGUUCGACCUUUAAAUU